This 458-nucleotide ribosomal RNA is filed under the name uncultured bacterium. RNAcentral describes it as "partial 16S ribosomal RNA". It matches the Rfam family "Bacterial small subunit ribosomal RNA", at positions 338 to 795 of the family's 1533-position model. The record is from RNAcentral.
CCUACGGGAGGCAGCAGUGAGGAAUAUUGGUCAAUGGGCGAGAGCCUGAACCAGCCAAGUCGCGUGAGGGAGUACUGCCCUAUGGGUUGUAAACCUCUUUUGUCGGGGAGCAAAAGCAGGACGUGUCCGGCUGUGAGAGUACCCGAAGAAAAAGCAUCGGCUAACUCCGGGCCAGCGGCCGCGGUAAUGCGGAGGAUGCGAGCGUUAUCCGGGUUUAUUGGGUUUAAAGGGUGCGCAGGAGGGUUUGUAAGUCAGCGGGAAAAUCGUGGGGCUCAAACCCAUAAAGUCGUUGAUACUGGGGGUCUAGAGUGUGCUAGAGGUAUGCGGAAUGCGUGGUGUAGCGGUGAAAUGCAUAGAUAUCACGCAGAACCCCGAUUGCGAAGGCAGCAUACCGGUGCACAACUGACGCUCAGGCACGAAAGUGUGGGUAUCGAACAGGAUUAGAUACCCUUGUAGUC